Molecule: long non-coding RNA, 258 nt
Filed under: Manihot esculenta (cassava)
Lineage: Eukaryota; Viridiplantae; Streptophyta; Magnoliopsida; Malpighiales; Euphorbiaceae
Description: long non-coding RNA (MESC_LNC006404)
Source: RNAcentral
AUGCGAUAAGCUUCGUUCCUCCUCCAGUGUCGUCGACUCAAAUCUGGUAUUCUGCAUUAUGCAAUCGAUGAGUUUAUCGAUGGCAUCAUGCUUACCAAAAACCUCAGCAGAAUACACAUACGCAAUAAACUCAUCAAAAUACCUGCUCACCAAUUUCGCAAUGAUCUGAUCAAUAUCUUCUGAUCUCAUCGCCUGAUCCCAAAUCUCUUCAGUUUCUUGUUUGAAGCUUCUCCAGCUCUUUAUUGCUUAAAAAUCCCC